AGUGAACGCUGGCGGUAGGCCUAACACAUGCAAGUCGAACGGCAGCACAGGAGAGCUUGCUCUCUGGGUGGCGAGUGGCGGACGGGUGAGGAAUACAUCGGAAUCUGCCCAGUCGUGGGGGAUAACGUAGGGAAACUUACGCUAAUACCGCAUACGACCUUCGGGUGAAAGAGGGGGAUCGCAAGACCUCUCGCGAUUGGAUGAGCCGAUGUCGGAUUAGCUAGUUGGCGGGGUAAUGGCCCACCAAGGCGACGAUCCGUAGCUGGUCUGAGAGGAUGAUCAGCCACACUGGAACUGAGACACGGCCCAGACUCCUACGGGAGGCAGCAGUGGGGAAUAUUGGACAAUGGGCGCAAGCCUGAUCCAGCCAUACCGCGUGGGUGAAGAAGGCCUUCGGGCUGUAAAGCCCUUUUGUUGGGAAAGAAAUCUUUCAGGCUAAUACCCUGGGAGGAUGACGGUACCCAAAGAAUAAGCACCGGCUAACUUCGUG
RNAcentral lists this ribosomal RNA (490 nucleotides) under uncultured bacterium. Its description in RNAcentral is "partial 16S ribosomal RNA". It matches the Rfam family "Bacterial small subunit ribosomal RNA", at positions 29 to 507 of the family's 1533-position model. The record is from RNAcentral.